UGGUAUCGGGCCAGUGGCUUUGAGAGUACAGCAACACUGUUCAGUGUGUCGUAUUGUGUGAGCAGUGCGUCGCGCGUGGUGUGUGAGUGGUGCGUGCCUGCUGCGUCAUGGCGUUCCAGUGCAGAGCCGCGGACCGCCCCCACAGGGGGAGUACCUCGUUCGGCAGCUCCAGCGUCAGCGUGAGCACCACAGGCAGCGGUGAGGCAGAGGGGGAAGCGGAGGCAGAGGCGGAGGUGGACGCAGAGGCAGGAGCGGCUGACGUCACUGGCCCCGACCAGGUCAUCGCGGGGGCGCAGGAGGCGGCCGCAUCACAGGACGCCGACAGCGCAGG
This is a long non-coding RNA of Schistocerca piceifrons (Central American locust), 331 nucleotides long. RefSeq lists it as uncharacterized. The transcript is spliced from 3 exons. The record is from RefSeq and is a predicted model, not a curated record. Lineage: Eukaryota; Metazoa; Arthropoda; Insecta; Orthoptera; Acrididae.